AAUACCUGAAGGGAGAGGCAGAUGACGUAUUUUAUUCCUUUUUUUCCCUAGUCCUGCCUGCUCCCUCGGCAGCCACCAGUCUACUUGUCGGGUAUGAAAAGGAGGUCCUUAGCCCUGGUGACGAAGGCUGCUGCAGGUACAGGACUACCUGUGUCUUUAGUUAAGAACUGGAUUGGUAACUAUGGGUGUUCACUUAAUACCUCCUGCAACACCCGGUGUCGCAAAGCUGCUGGUUAUAAGCGCGGUGUCUGCCUAUAACUUGUUUUGCGCAGAGCUGCUGAAGGGGAAAGUCACCCCCAGACGCGGCGAGGGUCGGCCGGGCCCCAGUGCAGCUCCAGUCCCCCCAAGAAGUGGCAUGGGCCACAGUGGACCUCCAGUCCCCCCAAGAAACGGCGAGGUCCAGCCUGGCCCCAGUAGAACUCCACUCCCAUCCAGACAUGGCGAGGGCCAGUCGGGCUCCAGUGCCCCUCAGACGUGGUGAGGAACAGACUGGCCUCAGCGGACCUCCGGGGCCCCCCAGACCCCCCAGCCGACCUUUGUGUUUUUUUCUGGGUAUCCUGCCUUGGAGACUUUUCUGGUGGGUCCACUUCUCUUCACUCCACUGAAAACCAAAAUUCUAUAUAUUUCCUCAUCAUCCUUGCUGGUUCAGCUAGUAGUCCACUACACCUGUCACUCGUAUAAAAAACCCUGAACCCAUUACAGAUGUUUGUAUUCAAGAACAAACCUUGACUGAAGUUGCCCACAGCGUCCGAAUCGCGAAGUCGAGCGCAAUUUGCACUUGGAAGUCCAUUCGCGUGUAAAGAAUUUGCUAAUGUCGAGCUGAUCACAUUCCUAGCUGUAUUUUGUCUAACCUAGGAAUUGACAUGUUCCUUUCUAGCUAUUUUGUCCUUUACGACAUCUUUCAGAAGUUUAUAUUUCUUUAUUGGCCCUUCUUUUACCAAGCAAGUUGACUGAGAACCCAAACUGUAUUACAGCAACAAACUUGGGACAAUUUGCAUGCAUGGGAAGGUGAGGGGUAGAAUGGGCCAAAAUGAAGUGUACAAAAAUCAAGAUGUUUUUUGUGGGGUAGGGUCUACCUGUCCCCCCCCCCCCCGGGCCCCCAUGUCCCGCAGGUGCUGGGUCAGUGGGACCCAUAACUGACACUCUUGGCCAUGCUGGUGUCGGAUGUGAGUGGUAAAAAUGUGGUUGUUUGCUUUGUUUCAUAAUGGUGCGGAUUGAGUCACAAAAAUAUGUUGAAAUUAAGUGUCCAGUAUAUUGAAAUUAAAUGCUUCCAUCUCAUGAGCAUAAGUUGUGAGACAGAAAGAGGAAUGAAAGUAAAAUAAAUAGUUUUGUUUAUCUGUAUGAUAGUAUUUAACUGCAUGGCUGUACAUUUUAGUCAAUUUCAUAACUCUACAUUAAAUAUGCAGUUGAUUUUAAUGAGUCCUAAUACAUAUGUUUGUGUUACAGAUUGUUUCACUUAUAAUUCACAGUAUCACAAUUCCAGUGGAUCAGAAGUUUACAUACACUAAGUUGACUGUGCCUUUAAACAGCUUGGAAAAUUCCGGAAAUUAUGUCAUGGCUUUAGAAGCUUCUGAUAGGCUAAUUGACAUCAUUUGAGUCAAUCAGAGGUGUACCUGUGGAUGUAUUUCAAGGCCUACCUUCAAACUCAGUGCCUCUUUGCAUGACAUCAGGGGAAAAUCAAAAGAAAUCUGCCAAGACCUCAGAAAAAAAAAAUUGUAGACCUCCACAAGUCUGGUUCAUCCUUGGGAGCAAUUUCCAAACCCCUGAAGGUACCACGUUCAUCUGUACAAACAAUAGUACGCAAGUAUAAACACCAUGGUACCACGCAGCCGUCAUACCGCUCAGGAAGGAGACGUGUUCUGUCUCCUAGAGAUGAACGUACUUUGGUGAGAAAAGGGCAAAUCAAUCCCAGAACAACAGCAAAGGACAUUGUGAAGAUGCUGGAAGGAACGGGUACAAAAGUAUAUCCACAGUAAAACGAGUCCUAUGUCGACAUAACCGUAAAGGCCGCUCAGCGAGGAAGAAGCCACUGCUCCAAAACCUCCAUAAAAGGUUUGACACUGCACAUGGGGACAAAGAUUGUACUUUUUGGAGAAAUGUCCUCUGGUCUGAGGAAACAAAAAUAGAACCGUUUGGCCAUAAUGACGAUUGUUAUGUUUUGCGGAAAAGGGGAGAGGCUUGGAAGCCGAAGAACACCAUCCCAACCGUGAAGCACGGGGGUGGCAGCAUCGUGUUGUGGGUGUGCUUUGCUGCAGGAGGGACUGGUGCACGUCACAAGAUAGAUGGCAUCAUGAGACAGGAAAAUUAUGUGGAUAUAUUGAAGCCACAUCUCAAGACAUCAGUCAGGAAGUUAAAGCUUGGUCGCAAAUGGUUCUUCCAAAUGAAUAACGACAUUUCCAUAUACAUUUAAGUCAUUUAGCAGACGCUCUUAUCCAGAGCGACUUACAAGUACAUACAUUCAUACUUUUUUGUAUUGGCCCCCCGUGGGAAUCGAACCCACAACCCUGGCGUUGCAAGCGCCAUGCUCUACCAACUGAGCCACAUGGGACCCCAUGCAUACUUCCAAAGUUGUGGCAAAAUGGCUUAAGGACAACAAAGUCAAGGUAUUGGAGUGGCCAUCACAAAGUCCUGACCUCAAUCCUAUAGAAAAUUUGUGGGCAGAACUGAAAAAGUGUGCGUGCAAGGAGGCCUACAAACCUGACUCAGUUACACCAGCUCUGUCAGGAGCAAUGGGCCAAAAUUCCCCAAACUUAUUGUGGGAAGCUUUUGGAAGGCUACCCGAAACAUUUGACCCAAGUUAAACAAUAUAAAGGCAAUGCUACCGAAUACUAAUUGAAUGAAUGUAAACUUCUGACCCACUAGGAAUGUGAUGAAAGAAAUAAAAGCUGAAAUAAAUGAUUCUCUCUACUA
Long non-coding RNA from Salvelinus fontinalis (brook trout), 2910 nucleotides. RefSeq lists it as uncharacterized. The record is from RefSeq and is a predicted model, not a curated record. The transcript is spliced from 5 exons. Lineage: Eukaryota; Metazoa; Chordata; Actinopteri; Salmoniformes; Salmonidae.